AGAAAAAUGGACUAUGUUACACUGAGAACUAACAUCAUAUUCAAAGUUAUGUAGCUACUAUCAUCAUAUAUCUAUAUGUUUACAUUAAUAUAAUAUGUAUAAACUGACAAAACUGGCAUAUUCUGCAUAGCUCACAACACCUUCACCACUUACAGCUCCUCCCCAAAAGAAAAAGAAGAAAACAAUCUUGGCUGUUUUCUCCUUAACUUUCCUUUGACGUACGAUUACCUUGCAUGGAGAAGCACUCGAAGCACACUCUUCAUCUUUGGCCGGCCUUCUGGUGAUACACUGACACAAGCUAGAGCCAAUUUGAGGACUGCUAACAUCUGGCUCCUAACGUUGAGCGAUGCCUUAGAAAUGCUAGAAUCCAGAAUGUGAUCCCACUUGCUGUGCUUCUCAGAGUUGCUCAGCACUGACUUGGCUAACUCGGUUCCCUGACUAACUGCAGGCCUUCCUGUCAACAAUUCCAGCAGAACGACCCCAAAGCUAUAUACAUUUCCAGCCAUUGUGACUCUCAUUGUGUAUGCAUAUUCUGGAGGAAUAUAACCGACAGAACCAGCAACAGCAGAAAAGCUGCCUGUGCUCUUCGAAGGAUCCAUCACCUUGUAGAGUUCAAUGUCUCCUAUCUGAGCCUCAUUCUGGGACUUCAAGAGAAUGCUCUUGCUGGAAAGGUCGAGGAGGAGGAUUGGACCCUUGUCACAUCCAUGAAGAAAAGCUAAACCCUGAGCUACUCCAAUAGCUAUGCUGUAGCGACUUGCCCAAUCUAACGAGUAGCCCAAGCUACCACGAAGAACAUCAUAUAACGAGCCAAUGGGGGCAAAUUCGUAGAAGAGGUAAGCACUAUCAGCAGCCAAAAGAUAGCCUAGUGGAAUCAUGACAUUCGAAUUAUUCAGCUUUCCAAUAUUUCUUAACUCUUCCCCAAAUAGUUCAUGGCUUCCCAACUGAAAUAUUUUGUCACUCCAAUUAAGCUUCUUG
RNAcentral lists this unclassified non-coding RNA (975 nucleotides) under Hevea brasiliensis (rubber tree). Lineage: Eukaryota; Viridiplantae; Streptophyta; Magnoliopsida; Malpighiales; Euphorbiaceae. The record is from RNAcentral.